Long non-coding RNA from Neogale vison (American mink), 752 nucleotides. RefSeq lists it as uncharacterized. Lineage: Eukaryota; Metazoa; Chordata; Mammalia; Carnivora; Mustelidae. The transcript has 6 exons. The record is from RefSeq and is a predicted model, not a curated record.
GCUGCACUUGAACAACCCCACUGCUACACUGUGUAAAAAGAGCAUGAAACCAGAUAAACCACAGGAAUUCUUGUUUUCUCAUUUGUGAUCAAAGAAAAUAACUAAAAGAGUGUCAGAAAAAUCUUCAUGUAAAUUUGGAUUUUCCUCCUUUGGCCUGGUUACUCUCCACUAGUCUGUCAGAUUGCUGUUCAGCAUCCUUUACUCUGGUGAUUCCCUCUGAGUUCAUCAAGUCUUUUCUCCAGUCUGAUAGAGAAAGUACCCUGCUUAAAAGGCUUAUGUGAUUUGCCCCACCAGGAAAAUCCAGAAUAAUCUCUCUCUUUUAAGCGGGAGCAAUUCCUAUGGUGGUCAACAAGUGGGACCAAGAAACACCCCAGGAAGCCAUCCCUAAACCCAUAAGGAAUUCCACAGAUGCUACAUUGUAAUGGACCCAUCAAGUGCCAAGACCAGCAGAACUGACAUCAGUCCUCUGCAGAGACCCCUUGGGAAAGCUGGGGAACCAGAGAUACAAAGCAAUGCCAACCCUCCUCUGGGAGAAACUAGGAGCCACAAAGUCUCCUUCUGAUCCUGUGGCAUUUACCUUGAUUUCUCAAAGGGAUUUUGUCUGCUUAAUUAUUGUCUGUCGGUGUAAGGAUGGCCUGGGGGCUAACUACUUUGUCAUUCUGUUGAUGUUACUGGAUCUAAUUAGCUGUUAUGUAUUUCAAUGCCAACAACUUUGAAUUGGGAUUCAUGUUUAUAAACAUAAACCUGAGGCC